RNAcentral lists this ribosomal RNA (205 nucleotides) under Clostridioides difficile. Its description in RNAcentral is "partial 23S ribosomal RNA". It matches the Rfam family "Bacterial large subunit ribosomal RNA", at positions 848 to 1053 of the family's 2925-position model. Lineage: Bacteria; Bacillati; Bacillota; Clostridia; Peptostreptococcales; Peptostreptococcaceae. The record is from RNAcentral.
GCUGGUUCUCCCCGAAAUAGCUUUAGGGCUAGCCUCAAGGUGAGAGAUACGGAGGUAGAGCACUGAAUGUCCUAGGGGGUAUUGCACCUACCGAAGACUAUUAAACUCCGAAUGCCGUCAUCUUAUACUUGGGAGUCAGACUGUGGGUGAUAAGAUUCAUAGUCGAAAGGGCAACAGCCCAGAUCGUCAGCUAAGGUCCCUAAAU